RNAcentral lists this ribosomal RNA (96 nucleotides) under uncultured archaeon. Its description in RNAcentral is "partial 16S ribosomal RNA". The record is from RNAcentral.
CUCCCUCGUUGCUGAUCCCAGGUUCGAUAGUACCAAUUAGGCACCACCUCGCCAAGAACCAACUUCGAUGAAGCGACGGGCGGUGUGUGCAAGGAG